GUCCACGCUGUAAACGAUGCUGACUAGGCACGGGAGAGUAUCGACCCUCUUCUGCGCCGAAGCUAACGCGUUAAGUCAGCCGCCUGGGGAGUACGGUCGCAAGACUAAAACUCAAAGGAAUUGACGGGGAUCCGCACAAGCGGUGGAGCAUGUGGUUCAAUUCGACGAUAAGCGAGGAACCUUACCUGGCUUUGACAUGUACCUGCAAGCGCUAGAGAUAGCGUCGCCUUCGAGGGUGGUACACAGGUGCUGCACGGUUGUCGU
This 264-nucleotide ribosomal RNA is filed under the name uncultured bacterium. RNAcentral describes it as "partial 16S ribosomal RNA". It matches the Rfam family "Bacterial small subunit ribosomal RNA", at positions 793 to 1055 of the family's 1533-position model. The record is from RNAcentral.